RNAcentral lists this ribosomal RNA (443 nucleotides) under uncultured bacterium. RNAcentral's name for it is "partial 16S ribosomal RNA". It matches the Rfam family "Bacterial small subunit ribosomal RNA", at positions 338 to 795 of the family's 1533-position model. The record is from RNAcentral.
CCUACGGGAGGCAGCAGUGGGGAAUAUUGGGCAAUGGAGGAAACUCUGACCCAGCAACGCCGCGUGAAUGAUGAAGGUCUUCGGAUUGUAAAGUUCUUUUCUAAGGGAAGAAGAAAGUGACGGUACCUUAGGAAUAAGCCUCUGCUAACUACGUGCCAGCAGCCGCGGUAAUACGCAGGAGGCGCGCGUUAUCCGGAGUGACUGGGCGUAAAGGGUGUGUAGGUGGUUUGGCAAGUUAGUAGCGUAACUCCAAGGCUCAACCUUGGAACUACUACUGAAACUGUAGGACUUGAGUGCAGGAGGGGCAACCGGAAUUCAUAGUGUAGCGGUGGAAUGCGUAGAUAUUAGGAAGAACACCAGUGGCGAAGGCGAGUGGCUGGACUGUAACUGACACUGAGGCACGAAAGCGUGGGGAGCAAACAGGAUUAGAUACCCGGGUAGUC